CGCUGCGGCGUUGGAGCGUGUGGAGAGGCAACGGGAGCGCUGGGAGAGACGCCAGCGGAGGAAGAGGAUACGCCAGCGUUCCAUCAGCAGGGAGAAGUGGGUGGAAACGCUGGUGGUGGCAGAUUCCAAGAUGGUGGAGUACCACGGCACCAAGGGCGUGGAGAGCUACGUACUGGCUGUCAUGAACAUCGUGUCGGGGUUGUUUCAUGAUGCCAGCAUUGGAAACCCUAUCAACAUCGUAGUGGUUCGUCUGAUCCUGCUGGAGAAGGAAGAGGAAGACCUGAAGAUCACCACCA
Molecule: long non-coding RNA, 296 nt
Organism: Oncorhynchus gorbuscha (pink salmon)
Lineage: Eukaryota; Metazoa; Chordata; Actinopteri; Salmoniformes; Salmonidae
Exons: 3
Source: RefSeq, a predicted model, not a curated record